This 432-nucleotide ribosomal RNA is filed under the name uncultured bacterium. RNAcentral's name for it is "partial 16S ribosomal RNA". It matches the Rfam family "Bacterial small subunit ribosomal RNA", at positions 29 to 507 of the family's 1533-position model. The record is from RNAcentral.
AACGAACGCUGGCGGCAUGCCUACACAUGCCAGUCGAACGAGACCUUCGGGUCCAGUGGCGCCCGGGUGCGUAACGCGUGGGAACCUGCCCUUAGGUUCGGAAUAACUCCCCGAAAGGGGUGCUAAUACCGGAUAAUGUCUUCGGACCAAAGAUUUAUCGCCUUUGGAUGGGCCCGCGUUGGAUUAGCUAGUUGGUAGGGUAAAAGCCUACCAAGGCGACGAUCCAUAGCUGGUCUGAGAGGAUGAUCAGCCACACUGGGACUGAGACACGGCCCAGACUCCUACGGGAGGCAGCAGUGGGGAAUAUUGGACAAUGGGCGAAAGCCUGAUCCAGCAAUGCCGCGUGAGUGAUGAGGGCCUUAGGGUUGUAAAGCUCUUUUACCCGGGAUGAUAAUGACAGUACCGGGAGAAUAAGCUCCGGCUAACUCCGUG